Molecule: ribosomal RNA, 468 nt
Filed under: uncultured bacterium
Lineage: Bacteria
Description: partial 16S ribosomal RNA
Rfam family: Bacterial small subunit ribosomal RNA
Source: RNAcentral
GACGAACGCUGGCGGCGUGCUUAACACAUGCAAGUCGAACGGCAAGGCCCUGCUUUUGUGGGGUGCUCGAGUGGCGAACGGGUGAGUAACACGUGAGUAACCUGCCCUUGACUUUGGGAUAACUUCAGGAAACUGGGGCUAAUCCCGGAUAGGAGCUCCUGCUGCAUGGUGGGGGUUGGAAAGUUUCGGCGGUUGGGGAUGGACUCGCGGCUUAUCAGCUUGUUGGUGGGGUAGUGGCUUACCAAGGCUUUGACGGGUAGCCGGCCUGAGAGGGUGACCGGCCACAUUGGGACUGAGAUACGGCCCAGACGCCUACGGGAGGCAGCAGUGGGGAAUAUUGCACAAUGGGCGGAAGCCUGAUGCAGCAACGCCGCGUGCGGGAUGACGGCCUUCGGGUUGUAAACCGCUUUCGCCUGUGACGAAGCGUGAGUGACGGUAAUGGGUAAAGAAGCACCGGCUAACUACGUG